RNAcentral lists this ribosomal RNA (435 nucleotides) under uncultured bacterium. Its description in RNAcentral is "bacterial SSU rRNA". It matches the Rfam family "Bacterial small subunit ribosomal RNA", at positions 343 to 791 of the family's 1533-position model. The record is from RNAcentral.
CGAAGGCAGCAGUGAGGAAUCUUGCACAAUGGGCGAAAGCCUGAUGCAGCGACGCCGCGUGGAGGAGGAAGUCCUUCGGGAUGUAAACUCCUUUUGGGGGAGACGAACCAAGUGACGGUAUCCCCUGAAUAAGCCCCGGCUAACUACGUGCCAGCAGCCGCGGUAAUACGUAGGGGGCGAGCGUUGUCCGAAGUUACUGGGCGUAAAGCGCGCGUAGGCGGGCUGGUAAGUCGGAAGUGAAAGGCUGGGGCUCAACCUCAUGCAGUGCUUCCGAUACUGUCAGUCUUGAGGGCGGUAGAGAGAGGUGGAAUUACUGGUGUAGCGGUGAAAUGCGUAGAUAUCAGUCGGAACACCGGUGGCGAAGGCGGCCUCUUGGGCCGUUCCUGACGCUGAGGCGCGAAAGCCAGGGGAGCGAACGGGAUUAGAUACCCUUGU